GAGUUAAGGCAAUUAAUAUGA
This 21-nucleotide non-coding RNA is filed under the name Caenorhabditis elegans. The record is from RNAcentral. Lineage: Eukaryota; Metazoa; Nematoda; Chromadorea; Rhabditida; Rhabditidae.